Molecule: transfer RNA, 82 nt
Filed under: Lachnospiraceae bacterium
Lineage: Bacteria; Bacillati; Bacillota; Clostridia; Lachnospirales; Lachnospiraceae
Description: tRNA-Leu
Rfam family: tRNA
About the family: Transfer RNA (tRNA) molecules are approximately 80 nucleotides in length. Their secondary structure includes four short double-helical elements and three loops (D, anti-codon, and T loops).
Source: RNAcentral
GCGGAAAUGACGGAACUGGCAGACGUGCAGGAUUUAGGUUCCUGUGUUGCAAGACGUGAGGGUUCGAGUCCCUUUUUCCGCA